This 683-nucleotide ribosomal RNA is filed under the name uncultured bacterium. RNAcentral's name for it is "bacterial SSU rRNA". It matches the Rfam family "Bacterial small subunit ribosomal RNA", at positions 54 to 745 of the family's 1533-position model. The record is from RNAcentral.
CAUGCAAGUCGAGCGAAGCUUUUCAGUAGUUUACUACAGAAAAUGACUGAGCGGCGAACGGGUGAGUAACGCGUGAGCAAUCUACCUUAGUUACAGGGAUAGCCCGAGGAAACUCGGAUUAAUACCUGAUAUUCUUUAUUUCUCGCAUGAGAAUAAAAGGAAAGGUCAGCCGAACUAAGAUGAGCUCGCGUUCUAUCAGCUAGUUGGUGAGGUAAAAGCUUACCAAGGCUACGACGGAUAGCUGGUCUGAGAGGACGAUCAGCCACACUGGGACUGAGACACGGCCCAGACUCCUACGGGAGGCUGCAGCAGGGAAUAUUGUGCAAUGAACGAAAGUUUGACACAGCGACACCGCGUGUGGGAUGACGGAUCUAGGUUUGUAAACCACUUUCAGGAGGGAAGAAAAUGACGGUACCUCCACAAGAAGCCCCGGCCAACUACGUGCCAGCAGCCGCGGUAAUACGUAGGGGGCGAGCGUUGUCCGGAUUUAUUGGGCGUAAAGAGCUCGUAGGCGGUUCAACAAGUCGGUCGUGAAAGUUCAGGGCUCAACCCUGAAAUGUCGAUCGAUACUGUUGUGACUAGGAUACGGUAGAGGUGAGUGGAAUUCCGAGUGUAGCGGUGAAAUGCGUAGAUAUUCGGAGGAACACCAAUUGCGAAGGCAGCUCGCUGGGCCGCUAUCGACG